CCUACGGGUGGCAGCAGUGGGGAAUAUUGGGCAAUGGGCGCAAGCCUGACCCAGCAACGCCGCGUGAAGGAAGAAGGCUUUCGGGUUGUAAACUUCUUUUCUCAGGGACGAAGCAAGUGACGGUCCCUGAGGACUACGCCACGGCUAACUACGUGCCAGCAGCCGCGGUAAUACGUAGGUGGCAAGCGUUAUCCGGAUUUACUGGGUGUAAAGGGCGUGUAGGCGGGACUGCAAGUCAGAUGUGAAAACCACGGGCUCAACCUGUGGCCCGCAUUUGAAACUGUAGUUCUUGAGUACUGGAGAGGCAGACGGAAUUCCUAGGGUAGCGGUGAAAUGCGUAGAUAGUAGGAGGAACACCAGUGGCGAAGGCGGUCUGCGGGACAGCAACUGACGCUGAGGCGCGAAAGCGUGGGGAGCAAACAGGAUUAGAUACCCGAGUAGUC
RNAcentral lists this ribosomal RNA (443 nucleotides) under uncultured bacterium. RNAcentral describes it as "partial 16S ribosomal RNA". It matches the Rfam family "Bacterial small subunit ribosomal RNA", at positions 338 to 795 of the family's 1533-position model. The record is from RNAcentral.